GUGCGCGCAUUCGAGGGAUUUGUUCUGUGGACUGUUAAAUGUCCAUUACUCAUGAAAGCAGUGCAGGUACAAGAAGUGGCAGACGUCUGGGGAUUCCUCACUUGUUGAAGCUGAAGCUAUAAUUACAGGAAAAGUUUGCAAUUUUGUUUGACCUAAGCGCUUCGACAACGUGAAUUCAAUUUUGUGUUGAAUAUUUUUACGUUUCUGGAUCAAUAAAUCAAUACCUGAUAUUUUUGGGCGUUACGGGUGAUUGGGAGCAUUUUCAUUUUUUUUUCCGUGUGUAAAUUUCCAACAAUGGAACUUAUAUUUUCCAUGGAAAUGGCAUAUGUACCCCUGGACGCAGAUGGCAGCUACCUAUAAAGGGUUCUAUUAAAAAGGGUUGGAUAAUUUUACGUAAUAAGAUUAAUGAAGGGUGUGCCUUUUAGAAUGAUGUAUCAUGGAUGUUCAUUAUAAUAUGUAAAUAAUUUAACAAAAUAUUUAUUUCUGUUGUGCACAGUUAAUGGAAAUAUCGAUUUGUCUUUAAUCUUUUGAUUUAAAGCUUUAAAACUGCGAUGCACUGCUAGGUCUGAAAAAUAGUCUACGUCUCUGUAUCUUCAGAAUACAAAAUUUUAGUAUUGGCAAAAGGACCGCUGUGUUGUGUGAUUUAAAAUUGAAGCCACCAAGGAAACUUUUUCAGCCUUCCCCCCCUUAAAAAAAAAAAACAUCAAAUAUGACGCCAGCAGUGACGCUUGUCUUUCAGUCUCUACCCUUGCUGAUUCUCAUAGUCCCAGUCAUGCAGCAGGUGUGUGUAGAGGUGGAUUCAGAGACAGAUGCGGUCAAGGACCAAUCGAUAAGGCUUACGUGCAUCUCUUGUCAGAAGAGGGCAGAGAUCACCAUGGAGUCACAGGUCAACUGGUACUACAUCAACAAGGACAAAAGUGCCAUACAUAUCUUGCAGUAUGUUGACGGACCACUGUAUCUGGAAGGACGCUGGAUGGACCGACUGCUGUGGAAUGGAAGCAGCAAUAUGCAAGACCUGUCCGUCUUAAUCAUCAAUGUCACACUGAACGACACCGGCACCUACAAGUGUGAGGUCAUCCGGAGGAUGCCUAACAUGCCGGCCUUUCGUGUCACUAAGUUUAUCAACCUGGUGGUGAGAGAGAAAGCCCUUCCCAACAUCACAGCCUUCUAUUCCGAAAUCAUGAUGUAUGUCGUGCUGACUCUAAUGAGCGUCUGGCUGCUUUUGGCGGUGGUGUUCUGCUUCAGGAAGAUCGCCAGAGCUGAGGCCCGUGCUCAAGACAGUUCGAAUGACUGUCUGUCAAUUCCUAGUGACAAUAAAGAUGAUAUGGUCACCACCAUAGAAGAUUAAGAAUGGGUGUCUCAUACAAAGAACAGUAAGUUAACUUUUCCUAUUGAUGCACUCCAGUGGUGGCUGGUGAGAUGAAAAUGGAUGAAUAUACUCAUGACCUGUUUGUGCGUACUUUAUGCCCUGUUUUUUUUUUUUUUUUUUUUGAUAGCCUUGUUUUUAUAUGACAAAAUUAUGCAGUAUUCUUUUAAUAUCAAGAUAAAUAUUAUCUUUGUUCUCCAAAUUUGUUCUCCCAAAUUCAAGGACAAUUGGCUACAUACAUUUCUAGCUACAAAAACUGAUCUAAGAUUUUGCCCUUGAAAUGCUCAUGGAAAAGCACCAACAUUUUCACCAAACUAAUGUUUCCUUACUAUCUUUUAUUGCAAAUUCUGCUCAAAGUGCAGUAUCCAGUUAAUGGGCAGAUGUCAAUGGAAAGUAUAGUCUUUCAAAUUGAUUUGUUUAUUUUACUAUACUGAACCCCAUUUUAUUUACCCCCAUUUAAAUUCUCUGACAUGACAUGGAGAAAGAGGACACUACCACAUGACACAGUUCAGAGAAAGCUUUGGAAUUACUUCCCAAUGGAUUAUACAGACAAUCUGGUUUGUUAAUCUGAACAGAUUGAGACCAAUGAUGAGUUUGAAGAUGCGACUCCGGAGUCAGCCAUUUCAAAAGGUAGAGCUAAAGGAAGACUUUAACAGAACCGUGUGAUGGGAGUUACAACAGGGGGGUCAGGAUUGAAAUAAGCUUUCCAUUUCUUUUCACGAGAAAGAUUUGUGAAGCGCUCUUUCACUCUGGAGAUUUGUGUCCUCAUAAUGGCUAAGAUGAACUCAUGUUGCUGUGCAUUAUUGCGAUCUCACAAUUGCAAAGAUGCACUUGUUGUCUGCAUGAACUCACAGAACUUGUGUUAUGUGUCACUGUGGCCCCGCAAUGGCUCCGAGGGAACUUGUGUGACAUGUCGGUUGCAGCUUCAAACACCCUGUUGGGUCAAUGUGUCAUAGACAUUGAAAGGCUUAUUCAAUUGUGUAGCCUUGUGCUUUGUCUUCCCUCACAGAUAAUGACAAUGUGCAUGCCAGUUAUACUGAACAGGAUCCUUAUCGAAUGAAAGCAUUGACCCACCCACACAUGAAAUUAUGAGCCGGGCACAAAGAGCUGUGUAUGGAAUAUGCUGAAAACUGAACCUACCAUUUGCAAUGAUGCGGUAAAUUUGACAAAUGAGAGUCAAAUCUGGUUUAAUCCACUUAUGAAUUUUCAAGGAUAAAUCAAUUUACCAACCUUUCCUAUUUGGUUGGACAAAAGUUGUCAUUAUAGAGUAAGGGAAAUUUCUUCUCUCCCCACUUUGUGAUUGCCAGUUAUGCCUCUCACUCAAUUUCAGUAUUACAUUUCAAGGUCCAUUAUUAUGAAAUUAAGUGAAUUAUCUAGCUGUUCAUUGUUUUUUUUAUCAUUUAUUGUGAAGCUUCACUGAAGAAUAGUUUUUGAUUAAUUAGUGAAUUUGAAGAAUGUAUGGUACCUGUAGGAUGAAUAGAACAUGAAAAAUUUCUUAAAAAAAAUAAAAUAUGGACCAAUUUUUUUUACAAAGUAAUUCUGUGAUGCUUCAUAUUCGGGAAUACAGAAAGAGUUCAUUGUUGGUGGUUUUGAAGUGUGCUUCAGUAUGAAUGCCAUUCAGAAUUAAUAAACAGCUUUCUUAUUGUGAAUAAAAGUAAUAUUUGAGGUUUUUAUUUUUCAGCAAGACAUCAAGAUUUUCCUUUUUAAUUUGGGUGCUGAGCCAAAUGAUCAUUCAUAGCUGUUUAUAGGAUCAAGCCAAUUCCUUGUAAAAGAACAUAUACUUAUCCUUUUGUAUUUUAUUGAGAUCUUAUUAUGGUGACAGUAGCACAAAAACGUGCCUGGUUUCAACUAAGCUACUUUAGAUGUCGAGCUUAGAUGAAAUUACACAAAUGAAUGAAUGCGUGUUGUGUCUUCUCUUUUAGUUUGCUGGCUAUCGUGAUAAUAUCAUUAGCCUGAGGCAGCUUUUUUAAGGAGCCAUGAAUACACAUACAUCUCCAGGACAAGUAUUUUGGACAUGGCAAAACUGCCAAUUCAUUAUGCCAUGAUAUAGUUUUAUUAAUGGGGAAGAAAGCAGUCAAUCUGAUUGGUCAUAAUGAAAUCAAACCUCCACCACACCUGUAGCCCACCCAACUGUGCUGCAGGGGCAAUACAGUCAUACCAUUACUAAAAUUCAGUUGUGUGUUUGACAGUUGGGCCUUGACUGUGAAUAUAGGGCCCUUGGAACAUGUUUUUAUAAGUUACUGUUUCCUAGAUUUCUUACUUGCCAUGUCUUGCAUAUGAAGCAUGCCUCUUUGACCCACCACUACACCAACUAAACUUGGGCAGAUUUUUCCAGAUUAGGAGACAUAUAUUUAGAAAAUUGGCAUGCUUUAAAUGUUUUUUUUGUUUUGUUUUUUUGACAAAAAAUUUACCAUCAAAACAAAUUUACCACCAAGAGUAUUCCCCUUUAUGAGGGCAUGAGACAAGUAAAGGAGUCAAAUUUCAAUACCAGCAGAGGCAGUCAUAGCCUGAGAGCACCACAGCUGAGCACUGCCAUAGAUGCUUCAGUUAUAGUAAUAACUUAUUUAGUUAUAGAUAAACCUCUGAUUAUUGCUGUAAUAAUUAUUUAAUUUGUCCUUCCAUAUACCUUCUCUUGUCUGUCAAGAUGCAAGAUAUUUCACAGUGAUGAAUUUACCAUGUUCAGUAAUUUUCCUAUUUAUAUGCGAUUCUGUAUUUAUUUAUUGAUUGCAAUCAUGUGGCUAUUAACAUAAUCCACGUGAUACAUUACUCUUAUCCUCAAGUAUCAUUUAGACCGCAUUGAACGAGAUAUAAAAUGUAAAGCUAUUAUAUGCAAUCAUACGCUUGUCGAUAUCUUCAGGAAGUGCACACUAACAUUUAUUGAUCUGUGAGCGCAUUAGAAAGCAAAAAGCAUCAACAGAUAGGAACCCUGGUGGGUUUUAAUGGUUACAGGCAAGUCAGUUAUUUUUACUAUCCUAUCGGAACAUGUUUUAAAAUCUGAUUAGCUGUAGAGUGGCGCAAACAGGUAUUGGUCACUUUCCCGGGCCGGGCAGCAGGUAUAUUGCUUGCAUGCGCUGUUAUGCUAUCCUAUAUGCAAUUGUUUGGCUAAAUUGUACUGUUAUGAGUUAAAUGAUGUGAUUUGUCUCGCACUCCUCUCGCUGUAUAGAGGUGCUGGGGAUUGUUAUUUCCACAUUAUAUGCCUAAAUGGCAGUAAAGCUCUGCGAGGAAAAUGCCUUUUUGAGUGCUUCACACCAUGCUCUAUGCUGAGGUGUUUCCAGAAAAGGAAGACUCUGGAAUGAUAUUAGGUUACUGUACAUUUUGUGUAAUUGUGCAGGUGCUAACUGUAUUGUGUUGAUGCACUGUUGAAUGCAAAUCCUUUUUUCAGCAUACAUUUGACCCUCUAUGGUUUAAUGGGCCUUGCAGGUGUAAUGUUAUAUGUACAAAUUAAUGGGAAAAUAAAACAUAUUUCACUCA
This is an RNA transcript of Anguilla rostrata (American eel), 4837 nucleotides long. It is a transcript of the gene named sodium channel regulatory subunit beta-3-like, with no coding region annotated. The record is from RefSeq and is a predicted model, not a curated record. The transcript is spliced from 6 exons. NCBI's taxonomy places the organism in Eukaryota, Metazoa, Chordata, Actinopteri, Anguilliformes, Anguillidae.